AUAGAACAGGCAUAGGCAAACUCCGGCCCUCCAGAUGUUUUGAGACUACCAUUCGCAUCAUCCCUGACCACUGGUCCUGUUAGCUAGGGAUGAUGGGAAUUGUAGUUACAAAACAUCUGGAGGGCCGGAGUUUGCCUAUGCCUGCCAU
Podarcis lilfordi (Lilford's wall lizard) is the source of this 148-nucleotide non-coding RNA. Lineage: Eukaryota; Metazoa; Chordata; Lepidosauria; Squamata; Lacertidae. The record is from the annotation of a GenBank genome assembly.